This 381-nucleotide ribosomal RNA is filed under the name uncultured bacterium. RNAcentral's name for it is "bacterial SSU rRNA". It matches the Rfam family "Bacterial small subunit ribosomal RNA", at positions 29 to 416 of the family's 1533-position model. The record is from RNAcentral.
AGCGAACGUUUGCGGCGGGCCUAACACAUGCAAGUCGAACGCACUAGCAAUAGUGAGUGGCGCACGGGUGCGUAACACGUGGGUAAUCAACCCUUCAGCUUGGGAUAACGACUUGAAAGGGUCGCUAAUACCGGAUACGGCGCGGGAGGCUUCGGCUUCUCACGAGAAAGCCUCGCAAGGGGCACUGAAGGACGAGCCUGCGGCCCAUCAGCUAGUUGGUGAGGUAAGAGCUCACCAAGGCGAAGACGGGUAGCUGGUCUGAGAGGAUGAUCAGCCACACUGGAACUGAGACACGGUCCAGACUCCUACGGAGGCAGCAGUGGGAAUAUUGCGCAAUGGGCGAAAGCCUGACGCAGCCACGCCGCGUGAGCGAUGAAGGCC